This 301-nucleotide ribosomal RNA is filed under the name uncultured bacterium. RNAcentral describes it as "partial 16S ribosomal RNA". It matches the Rfam family "Bacterial small subunit ribosomal RNA", at positions 509 to 807 of the family's 1533-position model. The record is from RNAcentral.
CAGCAGCCGCGGGAAUACGUAGGGUGCAAGCGUUAAUCGGAAUUACUGGGCGUAAAGCGUGCGCAGGCGGUUUGUUAAGACGGAUGUGAAAUCCCCGGGCUCAACCUGGGAACUGCAUUUGUGACUGGCAGGCUAGAGUAUGGCAGAGGGGGGUGGAAUUCCGCGUGUAGCAGUGAAAUGCGUAGAUAUGCGGAGGAACACCGAUGGCGAAGGCAGCCCCCUGGGCCAAUACUGACGCUCAUGCACGAAAGCGUGGGGAGCAAACAGGAUUAGAUACCCGAGUAGUCCCUGUCUCUUAUAC